This 527-nucleotide small RNA is filed under the name Pan troglodytes (chimpanzee). Its description in RNAcentral is "retained intron". Lineage: Eukaryota; Metazoa; Chordata; Mammalia; Primates; Hominidae. The record is from RNAcentral.
AAGCGCAUCCCGGACACCCGCGUCCACUGCUGCCUCUACUUCAUCCCCGCCACCGGCCACUCCCUCAGGCCCCUGGACAUCGAGUUUAUGAAACGCCUGAGCAAGGUGGUCAACAUCGUCCCUGUCAUCGCCAAGGCGGACACACUCACCCUGGAGGAGAGGGUCCACUUCAAACAGCGGAUCACCGCAGACCUGCUGUCCAACGACAUCGACGUGUACCCCCAGAAGGAAUUUGAUGAGGACUCGGAGGACCGGCUGGUGAACGAGAAGUUCCGGGAGAUGAUCCCGUUUGCUGUGGUGGGCAGUGACCACGAGUACCAGGUCAACGGCAAGAGGAUCCUUGGCAGGAAGACCAAGUGGGGCACCAUCGAAGGUACUCGCCGCAGGCGCCAGGGCUCCAGACAGAUGGGAAGACGGUCUCUUCUGCUGACCCAGAGCCUGUGGGCCACGCCUGAGCCGGGGACUCGUGGAACCUCAUCCACUGCCUUGCCCCACCCAGAGGGAGGGGUCUCCUUGUCCCCAUUCAA